CUACGGGCUGCUGCAGUGGGGAAUAUUGCACAAUGGAGGAAACUCUGAUGCAGCAACGCCGCGUGGAGGAUGACACUUUUCGGAGCGUAAACUCCUUUUAUAUAGGAAGAAGAUGACGGUACUAUAUGAAUAAGCGCCGGCUAACUCCGUGCCAGCAGCCGCGGUAAUACGGAGGGCGCAAGCGUUACUCGGAAUCACUGGGCGUAAAGAGCGUGUAGGCGGAUUAAAAAGUCAGAAGUGAAAUACUAUAGCUUAACUAUAGAACUGCUUCUGAAACUCUUAAUCUAGAAGAUGGGAGAGGUAGAUGGAAUUUCUGGUGUAGGGGUAAAAUCCGUAGAGAUCAGAAGGAAUACCGAUUGCGAAGGCGAUCUACUAGAACAUUAUUGACGCUGAGACGCGAAAGCGUGGGGAGCAAACAGGAUUAGAUACCCCCGUAGUC
This 439-nucleotide ribosomal RNA is filed under the name uncultured bacterium. RNAcentral describes it as "partial 16S ribosomal RNA". It matches the Rfam family "Bacterial small subunit ribosomal RNA", at positions 339 to 795 of the family's 1533-position model. The record is from RNAcentral.